RNAcentral lists this unclassified non-coding RNA (1101 nucleotides) under Hevea brasiliensis (rubber tree). Lineage: Eukaryota; Viridiplantae; Streptophyta; Magnoliopsida; Malpighiales; Euphorbiaceae. The record is from RNAcentral.
UUUUUAUUUCGUGUUCUUUGGAUGUAAGAAUGGUGUUGAAUGAUAUUAAUAAGCUUUGGACCAAAAACAAGAUAUGUAUUGUUGAAGUUGUUAGUACUUUUGUGAGUGCUGUUAUACAUGGAACUAGUGAUAAUCCAUUAUUAAUAGAUGAAAAAUAGCAGUUGCUUUCCUAGUUCAACUUUACUUAGAAAUAUUUGUUAUCAUCUGUUAUUUACUUGGGUGCCUUGGUCAUUUAACUUUUUUCUUUUUCUUGGUCAAUGUAAUGUGGCUAUUUGAUUAAAUUACGUGGUAUAUCUUUAGCAAACUUAAGACAUGUACUUAAUCUGAAUUCUUCAUCAUCAAAUACCAUUUAUACAGGGAAUCUGAAUUUAUAAAUUUUAGGUUAUUCUUUUUCCUGAAACAAUGUAGUUAUUGUGUCAGUGUCCUCUGAAGUGAUGUGUUUUGGUGGCCGCUUCUUUUACAUCCAUUUAAGUGUUCUUUGAUUAUGUUGGAAACCUUGCACAUGGGGUAGUUGUCGACUCCUUUGUUAGUCUUGCAGUUAUUGAUUAACCCUUGGAAUUGAGGGCAUCCAUUUGAAGAUAACUCUAAAUUAUCUUUGAUAUGAUGAAUGCUUUAUUGUUUUUAAGCAUUUAGGUUUUUAUAUUAGCCUUUAGGAUUUAGAGAAUUUUUUUUUUACAGAACAGAGAUAUAAUUCAUGCUUCCAAGUUGAGCAGCAGACCAUUUGUUUUAAUGCGAAAGUAGGAUUUCACUUUUUGGAUUGAUGCAUAAAACAACGAUGCAAUUCAUUUUGUUUUUCUUUAUAUCUUAGCAUAUGUCAUCCUAUAUUUUGUAAUUUCCAAGGUGAGUUCAACACAUCUUCUCGGUGUGCUGCAGGUUGUACCCCCUGAUCAAGCUCGUACAAUAUACCAGGCACUGAAGAAGAAGGGUUUGCCAGUUGCUCUUGUUGAGUAUGAAGGGGAACAGCAUGGUUUUCGUAAGGCUGAAAAUAUUAAAUUUACGCUGGAACAAGAAAUGGUGUUUUUUGCACGAUUGGUUGGAAACUUCAAUGUUGCAGAUGAGAUUAAUCCAAUCAAAAUUGACAAUUUUGACUGAUCAUGUAUC